UUCCAUCUUUCAAACAUAACCCUCAGAGACCAACCCCCAAUACCCUAACCCUAAAUCAUUUCCCCUCUAACCUCGCCGCCCUCCUUUCCCUUUUCUCUCUUCCAUCUGUCAACCUCUAUCAUCCUAAUCAAUCAAAAACCUUGCACCAAUUUGUGCAAGGUCACAAAUCGACAAAAAAUCAUCCACUUUGCCUUCUGAAUCCGCGAAUCCCGCCGGUUUCUUCCCCAUUUCAUCGUUCAAAUUCAAACGCCUAAAAUUUGGAACCCUAGCAUAAACAUUAAACCUCAAAUGGUUUAAAUCCUCUUAUACUUCGUCAAAUCAGAGCAUGCAUAGAGCUUCCUUCAGAGACUCAUCAUGAAAUUCUAUACCAAGAGGUCAUACAUAGUGACCUCUGGGUUUUAGGAUUUUUUUCAUUGGUUCAAAGCCUUCAACAAUCGAUCCCUACUCUCAGAUGUUUUGAAGCCCAGAAUUUAAUCAAAACAGCACCCCGUUUUCAGAAAGACAAAUCAGAAAGAGUCGAUGGUCUUACUCACAAGAGGAAUACUGAAGGAUCAACAUUGAAACAUGAGGUCCAAUAUGUGGUGAUUGAACAGAAAGAUGAUUGAGAUUAAUUGCAAGCAGUAAUGGGCAAAAACU
This is a non-coding RNA of Nicotiana tabacum (common tobacco), 636 nucleotides long. The record is from RefSeq and is a predicted model, not a curated record. NCBI's taxonomy places the organism in Eukaryota, Viridiplantae, Streptophyta, Magnoliopsida, Solanales, Solanaceae.